Gopherus flavomarginatus (Mexican gopher tortoise) is the source of this 2900-nucleotide long non-coding RNA. RefSeq lists it as uncharacterized. The record is from RefSeq and is a predicted model, not a curated record. The transcript is spliced from 2 exons. NCBI's taxonomy places the organism in Eukaryota, Metazoa, Chordata, Testudines, Testudinidae.
AAACGAUGAUGGACUGGAAGGGACCUCAGUAGGUCAUCUAGUGAAGUUCCCUGCACUCAAGGCAGGACUACAUAAUAGCUAGACCGUUCACGACAGGUGUUUGUCUAGCAUGUUCCUAAAAACCAUCAAUGAUGGAGAUUCCACAGCCUCCCUGGGCAAUUUGUUCCAGGGCUUAGUUACCCUGACAGGAAGAUUUUCGUAAAGUCCAAUUUAAACCUCCCUUGCUGCAGUUUAAGCCCAUUGAUUCUUGCCUAUCCUCAAAAGCUAAGGAGAACAAUUUUUCAUCCUCCUCCUUGUAACAAUCAUUUAUUUACUUUUAUGUACUAUUUUUUCAAUCUUUCCUCAUUGGUUGCAUUUUCUAGACCUUUAAUAAUUUUUGUUGCUCUUCUCUGGACUUUCUCCAAUUUCUCCACAUCUUUCCUGAAAUGGUGGUGCCCAGACCUGGACACAAUAUUCCAGUUGAGGCCCAAUCCAUGUGGUGUACAGGGCAAGAAUUAUGUCUCAUGUCUUGCUUACAACACUCCUGUUAAGUCCAAGAAUGAUGUUUGCUUAAUUUGCAACAGUUUCACACAGUUGAUACUCAUGUAGCUUGUGAUCCACUAUAGCCCCCAGCUCCCUUUCUGCAGUACUCCUAUCUUGGCAGUCAUUUCCCAUUUUGUAUGUCUGCAACUAGAGACAGAUUCAUGGGGCUGGGGCUAGAGCAAGUGGGAGCUCCCUCCUCACCCAUUCCACCUGUGGUCCUUCCCCUGUUUCAGCCCUCCAUAUGUGACCCUGCCCAUGGUCCCACCCCUUUCUGCCCCUUCCCUGAGGCCCUGCCCCUGUUCCACCCAGGGUGCCCUCCCAUUCUGCCCCCCCCAACUGUGGCCCAAAGAUGCUGUGUCCCCCUGCUGCAGCUCUAGGCCGCAGCGAGGAGUGAGAACUUUCCCAACACUGAGGCCUCAGCAGGUAGCGAGCACUCCUCCAGUCCCAGGGCCACAGCAGGGGUCCCAGUGUUGGUGCUUCCCCUGCUGCCCCCCGUCAGAUGGGGUGGGAGGCGCUGGGGGCUUCCUCUGCUGCCCCCCGGCUUCUGCUGGGGAUGGUGUCAGGGAGCACAUGGGGCUUCCCUUGCUGCCCCCAGCUUCUGCCAAGGACGGUUGGGGGGCGCAGGGAGGUUCCCUGCCUUCUGCCAAGAUUGGAGGAUGCUAGGGGCUUCCCCCACACACACCAAACUCAUCCCACCCAUCUGGCGUUGUUGCUCAGGAGCAGGGUCUGGGCGUGGGGGCUUUCCCUACCCGCCCAAGGCCCCCAGUUGGCCCUGGGCAUGGGCCCCAUAGGCCCAGUGGCUAAUCUGCCACUGCAUGUAACUAAUUGUUCCUUCCUAAGUGCAGAACUUUGCAUUUUUCCUUAUUGAAUUUCACCUAGACCAUUUCUCCAGUCCAUCAAGAUCAUUUUGUAUUUUACUUCUGCACUUGCAACCCCUCCUCCCAGCAUGGUAUCACCUGCAAACUUUUGAAGUGUACUCUCUAUGAAGUUAUUGAACAGACCUGGACCCAGAACUGAUCCCUGCAGAACCCCACUCAAUAUCCCUUUCUAGCUUGACUGUGAACCACUGAAAACUGCUCUCUGGGAACAGUUUUUCAACCAGUUAUGCACCCACCUUACAGUAGCUCCAGGUAGGCUAUAUGUCCCUAGUUUAUUUAUGAGAAGGUCAUGCAAGACAGUAUCAGACGCCUUACUAAAGUCAUGUAAUAGCACAUCUACUGCUUCCCUCCCAUCCACAUGGCUUGUUAAACUAUCAAAGAAAGCUAUCAGGUUGGUUUGACAUGAUUUGUUCUUGAUAAAUGCAUGUUGACUGUUGUUACUUAUUGCCUUAUAUUUUAGGUGUUUGCAAAUUGAUUGCUAAAUUAUUUGCUCCAUUUACUUCCUGGUACUGAAGUUAAGAUGACUGGUCAGUAUUCCCCAGGUUAUACUUAAUCCCCUUUUUAUAGAUGGGCUCUCUGCCAGUCCUCAACAAUCUCGCCCAUUUUUUGUGAGUUUUCGAAGAUAGUCGCUAAUGGCUCAGUUCCUUGACUAUUUGAGGAUGUAUUUCAUCAGAUCCUGCUGAGUUGAAGACAUCUUUCUCAGCUAAGUAAUUUUUAACUUGUUCUUUCCUUAUUCUAGCUACUGUGCAGGAGGGAUAUCCCACUCACACUCUGGAAGCACUAGGACACAGGUGUGAGCUUGGUGAAAAGGGACAGAAAGGAGCCAACCAGAGACUCCACCCAGUAGAAAUACAUAAAAAUGGCCAUAUUGGGUCAGACCAAAGGUCCAUCUAGCCCAGGAUGCUGCCUUCUGUCAGUGGCCAAUGCCAGGUACCCCCGAGGGAAUGAACAGAACAGAUCUACUUUGGGACAGUAUGUCUAUUGCAAGAGACUACUCACUGUGCACCAGCAGUGAGGUUCCCACACUAACAGCUGAAAUCACUGAGAGCUGUGUUAAGUGGGGGUCCUGAAGACAUCUUGGCAUAGCCAGCAGGGCAGCUGGUGGAGAGGGCCAGACCAGAGAAGAGCCCCCCCAGAGAGGCACAGCAGUCAGCUGUUGGGGCAAUGAGUGAGUGCCCAAGCAGUGCAGCAUGUAUGGUGCCUCCUUACCACCACCCCUCACGCACACACAGAGUGGGAGACGAACUCUGCGGAUGGAUCUCUGGACUCGGGGGCUGCACUGGCCAAGGACAGCAACUGUGCAUGGGGUGCAAAGAAGGGACAGGCACGUUAAAGGGACUUUUGGGUUGCUGGACUUAAGACCCUGAGGGCAAAAGGAUAUUGCCCAACUUACUUGGGGGUGGGUCUUUUGCUCACGGUUUGUGUUUAUGAACCCUAGUUGCGGUGUUUUCCCAAAUUAAUGCUGAGUUACUUCUCUCCUUUUAUUAAAAUUUUUUCCUA